UGGGGAAUUUUGGACAAUGGGGGAAACCCUGAUCCAGCCAUCCCGCGUGUGCGAUGAAGGCCUUCGGGUUGUAAAGCACUUUUGGCAGGAAAGAAACGUCAUGGGUUAAUACCCCGUGAAACUGACGGUACCUGCAGAAUAAGCACCGGCUAACUACGUGCCAGCAGCCGCGGUAAUACGUAGGGUGCAAGCGUUAAUCGGAAUUACUGGGCGUAAAGCGUGCGCAGGCGGUUCGGAAAGAAAGAUGUGAAAUCCCAGGGCUCAACUUUGGAACUGCGUUUUUAACUACCGGGCUAGAGUGUGUCAGAGGGAGGUGGAAUUCCGCGUGUAGCAGUGCAAUGCGUAGAUAUGCGGAGGAACACCGAUGGCGAAGGCAGCCUCCUGGGAUAACACUGACGCUCAUGCACGAAAGCGUGGGGAGCAAACAGG
This 429-nucleotide ribosomal RNA is filed under the name Acidobacteriota bacterium. RNAcentral describes it as "Acidobacteria bacterium partial 16S ribosomal RNA". It matches the Rfam family "Bacterial small subunit ribosomal RNA", at positions 355 to 776 of the family's 1533-position model. The record is from RNAcentral. Lineage: Bacteria; Pseudomonadati; Acidobacteriota.